CAAGUACUCCCUCCGUCCGGAAUUACUUGUCAUCAAAAUGGAUGUGUCUAGAACUAAAAUACAUCUAGAUACAUCCAUUUCAAUGACAAGUAUUUUCGUACGGAGGGAGCACAAG
Non-coding RNA from Triticum aestivum (bread wheat), 115 nucleotides. The record is from Rfam. Lineage: Eukaryota; Viridiplantae; Streptophyta; Magnoliopsida; Poales; Poaceae.